CUGCCCAAUGAAGAUUUAAAUGGCCGCGGUAUUUUGACCGUGCAAAGGUAGCAUAAUCAUUAGUUUCUUAAUUGGAAGCUGGUAUGAAAGGUUGGAUGAGAAAAUAACUGUCUCUACUUAAAUUAUUUAGAAUUUUAUUUUUAAGUAAAAAAGCUUAAAUUUAAAUAGAAGACGAGAAGACCCUAUAGAGUUUUAUAAAUUUUAAUUUAAGGGAAUUUUAGAAUUAAUAAUUUUUUAAAUUAGUAUUUAUUUAAUUGGGGUGAUUGAAAAAUUAAAAAAACUUUUUUUGUCUUAAAACAUUAAUUUAUGAUUAGUUGAUCCUUAUAUAAAGAUUAAAAGAAAAAAUUACCUUAGGGAUAACAGCGUAAUUUUUUUAAAGAGUUCAAAUCGAAAAAAAAGAUUGCGACCUCGAUGUUGGAUUAAAAUAAAAUUUUGGUGUAGGGGCUAAAGUAUUUGGGUCUGUUCGACCCUUAAAAUUUUACAUGAUCUGAGUUUAAACCGGUGU
This 505-nucleotide ribosomal RNA is filed under the name Rhinoscapha tuberculata. RNAcentral's name for it is "partial 16S ribosomal RNA". It matches the Rfam family "Bacterial large subunit ribosomal RNA", at positions 1859 to 2622 of the family's 2925-position model. The record is from RNAcentral. Lineage: Eukaryota; Metazoa; Arthropoda; Insecta; Coleoptera; Curculionidae.